RNAcentral lists this ribosomal RNA (902 nucleotides) under Terriera karsti. RNAcentral's name for it is "partial large subunit ribosomal RNA". It matches the Rfam family "Eukaryotic large subunit ribosomal RNA", at positions 38 to 962 of the family's 3401-position model. Lineage: Eukaryota; Fungi; Ascomycota; Leotiomycetes; Rhytismatales; Rhytismataceae. The record is from RNAcentral.
GCAUAUCAAUAAGCGGAGGAAAAGAAACCAACAGGGAUUGCCUCAGUAACGGCGAGUGAAGCGGCAAUAGCUCAAAUUUGAAAGCUGGCGCAAGCCCGCGUUGUAAUUUGUAGAGGAUGCUUCGGGUGUGGUGCCGGUCUAAGUUCCUUGGAACAGGACGUCAUAGAGGGUGAGAAUCCCGUAUAUGGCUGGUUGCCUACGCCUGUGUGAAGCUCCUUCGACGAGUCGAGUUGUUUGGGAAUGCAGCUCAAAAUGGGUGGUGUACUCCAUCUAAAGCUAAAUAUUGGCCAAAGACCGAUAGCGCACAAGUAGAGUGAUCGAAAGAUGAAAAGCACUUUGGAAAGAGAGUUAAACAGUACGUGAAAUUGUUGAAAGGGAAGCGCUUGCAAUCAGACUUGCGCGACGCUGAUCAGCUUGGGUUCUCCCUUGCGCACUCGGCGCCGUUCAGGCCAGCAUCAGUUUUAGCGGUUGGAUAAAGGCCUAGGGAAUGUGAGUGGCUUCGGCCACUGUUAUAGCCCUGGGCGCAAUGCAGCCUGCUGGGACUGAGGACCGCGCUUCGGCUAGGAUGCUGGCGUAAUGGUUGUAAGCGACCCGUCUUGAAACACGGACCAAGGAGUUGAAGAAUAGUGCGAGUGUUUGGGUGUUAAACCCAUGCGCGUAAUGAAAGUGAACGGAGGUGAGAGUCCUUAAGGAUGCAUCAUCGACCGAUCCUGAUGUCUUCGGAUGGAUUUGAGUAAGAGCACUACUCUUCUGACCCGAAAGAUGGUGAACUAUGCCUGAAUAGGGUGAAGCCAGAGGAAACUCUGGUGGAGGCUCGCAGAGGUUCUGACGUGCAAAUCGAUCUUCAAAUUUGGGUAUAGGGGCGAAAGACUAAUCGAACCAUCUAGUAGCUGGUUCACGCC